UAUGAUUUAAAUGGAAGUCUGUAAGCUUGAACCAGCAAACAGCAGUGAUCAGAUCAGCCUAAAAAAACUUGAAGGUGAAUUUACUUAGAAAUCACUCCCAGGCCAGGUCAUUCAGAAUUUCUUUCUGCAAAAAAAAACUUCACGGAACAAAUUAAAAAUUAAACUGCAAGAAAUAACCAUACAUGAUUUCUAGAAUUUAGCAUAAACCCUCAAUAAUCGUCUGACGAUGAUCAAACAGAAGUCAAACUCCAUGAUUGAAUACAUAAUAACAUUUCUUGCACGUUUAUUUCAUAUCAU
Molecule: long non-coding RNA, 297 nt
Organism: Populus euphratica (Euphrates poplar)
Lineage: Eukaryota; Viridiplantae; Streptophyta; Magnoliopsida; Malpighiales; Salicaceae
Exons: 2
Source: RefSeq, a predicted model, not a curated record